Scophthalmus maximus (turbot) is the source of this 109-nucleotide ribosomal RNA. Lineage: Eukaryota; Metazoa; Chordata; Actinopteri; Pleuronectiformes; Scophthalmidae. The record is from Ensembl.
GUUUACGGCCACACCGCCUGGUUCACGCCUGAUCUCGGAAGCUAAGAUAGGUUGGGCCUGGUUAGUACUUGGAUGGGAGACAGCCUGGGAAUACCAGGUGCUGUAAGCU